Molecule: unclassified non-coding RNA, 484 nt
Filed under: Hevea brasiliensis (rubber tree)
Lineage: Eukaryota; Viridiplantae; Streptophyta; Magnoliopsida; Malpighiales; Euphorbiaceae
Source: RNAcentral
GGAAGCCUCAAGCUCCUGCUGAAGGUGGUGUUAAAUCAGCUACAGAUAAGAGUCAGAAUGCUACUGAAGAAAUGGAGAUUGAUUUAUAAUAUAAAUCUCACCUUUUCACGAAUAGCAAAAACUGCUUCUAGUUCUUUGAUGUCAGCCAGUUCUGUUAUCACCUGUGUCAACUGCAACUUCAGCUUCAGUGUUCUGAAUCUCCAGCCUGCUGUAUCACCUGGCUCUUUUGCAAUGUUCAAGCGCUACUACCACAAAAGGUUGCAUAUAAUAAUCAUGUAGAUAGAGGAUUCAUUAAGUAAAGUUAGAAUGAGGAGCCAUAUGUGGCUGGAUAAUAAGCAAUUACUUUGGUUAGAAGAUGGGGGGCCUAUAAGAGGGAGAAAUAGUUUAUUCAAAAAGGCCUCGCAUAAAUUUCAGUUAGUACUCUCGUGGAGCUUUGAGCAACCAGAUGCUUAAAUGGACAUUUCCUCAAUCAUCUAUGAAGUCU